CACCAGACUCCUACGGGAGGCAGCAGUGGGGGAUAUUGCACAAUGGGGGGAACCCUGAUGCAGCGACGCCGCGUGGGUGAAGGAGUGCUUCGGCAUGUAAAGCCCUAUCGGCAGGGAAGAAGCAAGACGGUACCUGACUAAGAAGCCCUGGCUAACUACGUGCCAGCAGCCGCGGUAAUACGUAGGGGGCAAGCGUUAUCCGGAUUCACUGGGUGUAAAGGGAGCGUAGACGGCCAUGCAAGCCUGGAGUGAAAGCCCGGGGCCCAACCCCGGGACUGCUCUGGGAACUGUGCGGCUGGAGUGCGGGAGGGGCAGGCGGAAUUCCUGGUGUAGCGGUGAAAUGCGUAGAUAUCAGGAGGAACACCGGCGGCGAAGGCGGCCUGCUGGACCGCGACUGACGUUGAGGCUCGAAAGCGUGGGGAGCAAACAGGAUUAGAUACCCUAGUAAAG
RNAcentral lists this ribosomal RNA (450 nucleotides) under uncultured bacterium. RNAcentral describes it as "bacterial SSU rRNA". It matches the Rfam family "Bacterial small subunit ribosomal RNA", at positions 329 to 793 of the family's 1533-position model. The record is from RNAcentral.